RNAcentral lists this ribosomal RNA (253 nucleotides) under uncultured bacterium. RNAcentral describes it as "partial 16S ribosomal RNA". It matches the Rfam family "Bacterial small subunit ribosomal RNA", at positions 524 to 776 of the family's 1533-position model. The record is from RNAcentral.
UACGUAGGUGGCAAGCGUUGUCCGGAAUUACUGGGUGUAAAGGGAGCGCAGGCGGGAAGCCAAGUCAGCCGUGAAAACUACGGGCUUAACUUGUAGACUGCAGUUGAAACUGGUUUUCUUGAGUGAAGUAGAGGUUGGCGGAAUUCCGAGUGUAGCGGUGAAAUGCGUAGAUAUUCGGAGGAACACCGGUGGCGAAGGCGGCCAACUGGGCUUUAACUGACGCUGAGGCUCGAAAGUGUGGGGAGCAAACAGG